Phyllopteryx taeniolatus (common seadragon) is the source of this 2765-nucleotide long non-coding RNA. RefSeq lists it as uncharacterized. NCBI's taxonomy places the organism in Eukaryota, Metazoa, Chordata, Actinopteri, Syngnathiformes, Syngnathidae. The transcript has 3 exons. The record is from RefSeq and is a predicted model, not a curated record.
AUCAUUACCCUUAUACUGGAUGCAUUUUACAGUAUGCAGCCUGAUGACUAUAGCGAUUAUGCGACACUGAGGGAUUAAACCAGCCAAUCUGACCAUUAGAAGGCUUUUGUUUGCGGUAUCACUCCACGUCUUAAUCCUUCCGGUCCUUAAAGAAGAGAACAGAUGGAUCCUUUUAGUCUUAUCCUCACUAGGGACGCAGGUGUGCUGGACCAGCCUAUCCCAGCUAUCUUCAGGCAAGCGGCGGGGUCCACCCUGAGCUGGUCGCCAGCCAAUCGCAGGGCACGUAUACACAAACAACCAUUCGCACUCACAUUCACACCUAAGGGCAAUUUAGUGUCUUCCAAUGAUCAAUUAUGCAUGUUUUUGGAAUGUGGGAGGAAACCGGAGUACCCGGAGAAAACCCACGCAGGUACGGGGAGAACAUGCAAACUUUGAACCCCUGGUCCUCAGAACUGUGAGGCAGAUGUGCUAACCAGCCGACCACCGGUGUACCCCGCCUCCCGCCCGAAGAUAGCUGGGAUAGGAUAAGCGGAACGGAAGAUGAAUGCCCGAAUGACCUUUAUUACAACCACAACUAUAACUUCAUCCACAUCAAGCUCAUAUUAAAGCCCCUCUUGGCUCUUUUCACAUGCAUAGAUGCCAUCCAUAAAGUGAAACCGGCAGCCCGGCACACCAGUGUUGUUUUUAUCGCAGCGUCCUCACAUCUUUUCACUCUCAAAGGGAUCCACAUUUGGAACAACUGAUAUGGUGAAGUUCAGCAGUCUGGUCAGUGUUCGAAGGCGGCGUGGUGGUCCUAAAUGGGGUAUGACUACAUGAAGUUAUGGUCUGGCAAUGAUAUCAUAUCAGCGCCAUUUAUUAGUGCGCUUUAAUGUCUUAAGAGCAAGUUAACUGCCUCAUGUCUGCAGCACUUGUAUCAUGUCUCCAUCUUUUAUUAUUAUUAUUAAUAUGUUAUCAUUAAUAAUAAUAAUAACAAUAUUAAUAAUAAUAAUAAUAAUAAGAAGAAGAAGUAGUAUUUUAGGUUUUAGAUUCAUAGAGCUCAAUUAUAACUACCGAUGACUUGUUCCCCUCCUUGAACCGUCACCUUAUCGUGGUGGAGGGGUUUGCGUGUCAAGAUGAUCCUAGGAGCUAAGUUCUCUGGGGCUUUAUGCCCCUGCUAGGGUCACCCAUGGCAAACAGGUCCUAGGUGAGGGACCAGACAAAGCAGGGCUCAAAGACCCCUUAUGAUGAUGACAAACAAUGGACUCAGUUUUCCCUUGCCCAGACGCGGGUCACCGGGGCCUCCCUCUGGAGCCAGGCCAGCCCGGAAGUGGGGCCUGGUGGCCGGGCCUGCACCCAUGGGGGCCCGGCCGUGUGUUUUGUAGACUUGGAGAAGGCAUUCGACCGUGUCCCUCGGGGAGUCCCGUGGGGGUUGCUUCGGGAGUAUGGGGUUCCGAACCCCCUGAUACGGGCUGUUCGGUCCCUCAGAGUUUGGUCCGCAUAUCUGGCAGUAAGUCGGACUCGUUCUCGUUGAGGGUUGGACUCUGCCAAGGCUGCCCUUGAUCACCGAUUGUGUUCAUAACUUUUAUGGGCAGAAUUUCAAGACGAGCCUUCAUAUGUUGGCGGAUAUUUGGCAACCGAUUCAGUUUGGCCACGGCGCCAUUCAUGGCAGGCACAUCACAGCCUCGUGUGAACGCGAAGUGCGUUCAGGGCCACUGCUUAAAUGGGAGUGCACGUGUUCUUUUGUAAUACAGUACAUAACUGUAAAAAAUGAUUACUAGGAAAAUUAUUGUUUGUAUCAGAAUGCUUUAGUUACGACUGUACGAUUACACUGUCGUGAUACAGAAUUUAUUUUGUUUUGUAAUGUAAGAAUCGAAAUCUAAUAUUUUGUUAAUAUAGCCAGCCAGAGCUUCGAGGAGUGCAAAGUUAUCAAUAUCCUUUCACCAUCGUUCCUGUCAUUAUGUUGCAUUUCUUCAAAUGUCAUUUUUUUGGUCUUAAUUCCUCACUUUAAAAAAGACCAUUCAACCAACCAAGUUUUUCCUCAUGUUUUUGAGAUUGUAGGGUGAAAGCUGCAGCUGGCUACUCGUGUGGACUGAAUAGGUGGCAACAUAUUGAGAAAAAACAAAAAAGAACUAUGAACUGGUACUUUUAUGGAAUGGUGAACUUAGUUCAAAAGUUUGAAUUAUGAACUACAAAGUGAACUAUUUCAUUUUCGGAACAGUGAACUGAACUUUGAACUCGUUCUUGUACAAAAUGAACUUUCCCAACACUGGCCAGCAACCUGUUCUGCUGCCUUGCGAAUCUUUUGGUUUAGCAUGUAGCUAAUUGUUUUAGCAAUACUUAUCAUGUAUGCAAUUUGUAGGGAUAGGUAGGAAUAAAACACAAACACAACAUUUUGAAACAAUCAGUCAAAUGCCUCAAAUCAUUGAAGGCUCCCUUAAUUGGCACUUGUUGCUAGGCAGAAUUCAUAAGGCUUAAUUGUAACCUGUCGCGAUGCAGAAUUCAUAGGGCUUGGUUAUAACUGCCCCCUUGCUUGACACCAGGCAGAAUUCGUAGGGCUCGAUUAGAACUGGCUGCACGCUUGUCGAUAGCCGGGCAGUUAUAAUUGGAUCCUGCGAAUUCCGCCUAGCGACAAGUGGCCGCGCACAUGUUAUUAUGCCCUAUAAAUUCUGCCUAGUGACAAGUGGGUAGGAAAUUGUAAUAAAAUACUAAAUCUAACUAGCAAGAGAGAAUGGGCAGGUAUACUUGAGCCCUACGAAGUCUGCCUGGUGGUAAGUGAGUGGGCAGUU